Ipomoea nil (Japanese morning glory) is the source of this 771-nucleotide long non-coding RNA. RefSeq lists it as uncharacterized. Lineage: Eukaryota; Viridiplantae; Streptophyta; Magnoliopsida; Solanales; Convolvulaceae. The record is from RefSeq and is a predicted model, not a curated record. The transcript has 3 exons.
GCAGAUAAUUUAAGAUUUUUCUAGCCAAAAGUUGUUCUCCCGCUUCCAUUGUAACAAAGCAGCAGUCGUCGUCUCCUCCACCAAGUUCCCUCGCAUCGUUUCCAUCGCAAGGUCGCCGGUCACCCUCGCCCCAUCGUGUCCAUCGUCUCUAGGUUGUAACCGCCGCAAGGUCGCCGUUCGCACAGCCCUCUCGCGACAUCGCCGCAAGGUCGCCGGUCGCACAGCCGCAAGAUCGCCGGAAGGGGAACUCAACGAUGACAAUCAUUUAUAUGGCUGUGCAGAAGAAUGACUUUUUCAUGCAAAGAUAUGGAUUUUCAUCACCCGUGAAUCCUUGGGAUGUCAUCCAGUUCUCUGGAAAUGCACAAAUUCAUAUCCGUUUUUAACAGAUCUGGCCUUCCAGAAGAUUAUUACCACAGUAGUAAUGUUCAUGUUUCUUUUCCUCAUUAGCUGUUACUGCUCUAUUUUUGAUUGAUUACUAAUGUUUAGAACUUUAGAGUGUUCAUAUGAUACUUGAAGCAGGUAAGCUAUCAAACGAGGGAGCAGUUAUAGCAGCAGCAAGAACAUUGCCUACUUGGUCAGAUAGAGACAUGCCCCCAAUUCCUAGGUAUUAACUCAUAUUGUUAUACUCAUAUGAUAAAUGCAGGAGUCCCCUUCUGCCAUUUAACUCAAAACUAGUAGAUUUUUUCUGCUGCAAUUUAAAUUUAUGGCUUGUAAUAGCUUGCAUUAAAUGGCUUAUGCAUUAACUUAAAACUAUCUAUUCUAUUUGCAGUA